This 485-nucleotide ribosomal RNA is filed under the name uncultured bacterium. RNAcentral's name for it is "bacterial SSU rRNA". It matches the Rfam family "Bacterial small subunit ribosomal RNA", at positions 28 to 511 of the family's 1533-position model. The record is from RNAcentral.
GAUGAACGCUAGCGGCAGGCUUAACACAUGCAAGUCGAGGGGUAGAGGAAGCUUGCUUCCUUGAGACCGGCGCACGGGUGCGUAACGCGUAUGCAACCUACCUUUUACAGAGGGAUAGCCCAGAGAAAUUUGGAUUAAUACCUCAUGGUAUAUAUCAUUCGCAUGUUUGAUAUAUUAAAGUUCCAACGGUACAAGAUGAGCAUGCGUCCCAUUAGUUAGUUGGUAAGGUAACGGCUUACCAAGACAAUGAUGGGUAGGGGUCCUGAGAGGGAGACCCCCCACACUGGUACUGAGACACGGACCAGACUCCUACGGGAGGCAGCAGUGAGGAAUAUUGGUCAAUGGGCGCAAGCCUGAACCAGCCAUGCCGCGUGCAGGAAGACGGUCCUAUGGUGUGUAAACUGCUUUUGUACGGGAAGAAACACUCCUUCGUGAAGGAGCGUUGACGGUACCGUAAGAAUAAGGAUCGGCUAACUCCGUGCCCA